Anguilla anguilla (European eel) is the source of this 1495-nucleotide long non-coding RNA. RefSeq lists it as uncharacterized. The record is from RefSeq and is a predicted model, not a curated record. The transcript has 4 exons. Lineage: Eukaryota; Metazoa; Chordata; Actinopteri; Anguilliformes; Anguillidae.
UUAACGUUUGAUUAAACAUCCCUAAAUGGCCUUGACAUCAUAAUCCACCUAGUUGUGUAUAUAUAAUAACAAGUUCGCUAACUAGCUACCUAGAGAAAUUUCGAUUUUAAUGGUGGGAAUCUAGCUAAUGUGUUAGAUUAAAACUAGAGAAAUUUCUAUUUGAACCGCUUGAUAGCUAGCUAUUAAUCGUUGGUUUGAAAUAAAAGCAAGCUAACGUUUUCGUGUUUGUAUACUGAUCUUGAUGCUGAUAACCGCAUAACAUUAUUUAACACUAGCAUUUUGUGAUUAUUGGCAAAAUAUUCCACUAUCAAUCUGGCUUAAUUUUAAAGAUUAAAGGUUUUUUCUUCUGUGUAAAAAUAACUUGUUGCUGGGUAUGUAUUUCUGUAAUGAAAAUAAGCUUCUGUUCCAUGAACUUGGCACUGAUAACAGCCUAACAUUAUUUACAGCACCAUUGUGGGGUCUUUGCUUUUAUAUUCCAAUAUCAUUAUGCCUUAAUUAGCUAGUUAUAGAUUAAGAGUUUUUGUUUUAUGUGUCCAAAUUGCUUUCUGCUGAGUAUAACAGUUUAUGUUGGCAAAAUAAACUUAUUCUAUUCCAUCAACUAUGUACUCAUACUAUAUGUAUGAUGUAAGCAACACAGCUACAACUAAGAAAAUUGAUAAUGGGUGUGUUAGAUUUACAGUAGGUGUGCGAAUGAUCAAGCAUUGACAAUAGUCAAUAGUAUUGGCGGCGCAGAGGCGAUGGGGGGCCCCCAAAUAAAAUUCUGUUUAGGGCCCCAUAAAGGCUUGGACCAGCCCUGAUCAGCAAACUCAUCUGAAACAAUUGGGAAGUGAAGUAAGAUAUAAAUACAUCACAUUGGAAAUGAAACAGAAACACAGAAGAAGAAAUGAUCUUUCCAAUUUCAGUCAGAAAGAAUAACGAGUGGAACAAAUGAGAAACGCUCAGCUAGAAUAUCUACUCUCCAGCCUUCCCAUUGCUGACCGUGAGCGGGGAGGUCAAAGCAGGUGACGCUGUGACUGCUUCCUGCUCUGUCUCACUCCUGUCCCACGGAGCUGCCUCACCUGAUCUGGAGCCGCAGUGGAACAACCACCAACCAAUCAGAGGAGCUGCCCAACGGCCAAUGGAGAGUGACUUCAAGCCUGGCUUUCACUGCCACAAACUCUGACCACAACCAGCACCUGACUUGCACAGCAAAGUAUCAGCAAGUCACAUCUGUGCAAUCUUCUAAAAUUUUGAAUGUGGCAUAUGCCCCAGUCCGUGUGGAGGUCGAGCCUGAGUCCACAGUGGUGAAGGAGGGAGAUGCUGUGCAGAUCAAAACGUUUCAUUUGGACAGUUACACACAGGCCCUCACGUCUUUGUCGUCUGGCCUGAAAUGAAUACGUAAUGACCAUCUUUCUGAGCAUAUAUCAGACCCCCCAAGCAUUGGAGCACAAUCAGGCUGUGUUGCAGAAAUCACAGGGGUGAACUGCCGGUGCCUGGUGGAGUCCAGGCCCGCUAG